This 445-nucleotide ribosomal RNA is filed under the name uncultured bacterium. RNAcentral describes it as "partial 16S ribosomal RNA". It matches the Rfam family "Bacterial small subunit ribosomal RNA", at positions 354 to 796 of the family's 1533-position model. The record is from RNAcentral.
GUGAGGAAUAUUGGACAAUGGGCGCAAGCCUGAUCCAGCCAUGCCGCGUGCAGGAAGACGCAUCUAUGGUGUGUAAACUGCUUUUGUACGGGAAGAAACACUCCCUCGUGAGGGAGCUUGACGGUACCGUAAGAAUAAGGAUCGGCUAACUCCGUGCCAGCAGCCGCGGUAAUACGGAGGAUCCAAGCGGUAUCCGGAAUCAUUGGGUUUAAAGGGUCCGUAGGCGGUUUAAUAAGUCAGUGGUGAAAGCCCAUCGCUCAACGAUGGAACGGCCAUUGAUACUGUUAGACUUGAAUUACAAGGAAGUAACUAGAAUAUGUAGUGUAGCGGUGAAAUGCUUAGAUAUUACAUGGAAUACCAAUUGCGAAGGCAGGUUACUACUUGUGGAUUGACGCUGAUGGACGAAAGCGUGGGGAGCGAACAGGAUUAGAUACCCCGGUAGUCC